Long non-coding RNA from Saccostrea cuccullata (small rock oyster), 689 nucleotides. RefSeq lists it as uncharacterized. Lineage: Eukaryota; Metazoa; Mollusca; Bivalvia; Ostreida; Ostreidae. The transcript has 3 exons. The record is from RefSeq and is a predicted model, not a curated record.
AGUAGGUCGGACGCCAUAUUGCCCUACGUAGUGUCUCGACAGUAAACAGACUUGUACGUCACUCUAAUAACAAGUUGGUACCUAGCCCCCCUUUGAGUACCUUGUAGACCCCACCCUCCAGCACCCCCGGGGACUGACCGGAAGCUGAAUGGGGUGAAAUACCUUCACUCGGAGACGGACGAGGAAUCCGAUGAAGUCUCGGCUGUUCGAACCUUCUUCGCAGACACAGAAAACAGUACAGGAAGGAAAAACAGAUGAAAUACUAUGUGUAUGAUUGAGAAAUCUAAGCAUCAAGCCUCCCAGUGACAAAGACUUAGCCAGUCCUGUCAAGAUAAAGCACCUUAAGGACACUGACACCUCGGUAUUAAGGUACGACUUGUACCCAAGACUGCGAACCAGUUAAAUGUGAACAUGUGUUCUCGACAUACACCGUCUGCAGUCACGAUAGCCUAACCGGACACUUUCCAGCUAAAAUAUCUGUCAUUUACACUUCUGCUGUCUCCUGAAAAUGGUACGUGAAUACAGAGAUCCUUAAUUGUACAGUGGAGAGUUCACUCAGACUGAUACAGAGGAAAAGGAACCAGCACAAGAUAUGAUGGAUGUUUAACUAACUCCAAGCAAGUGUUUCAAGUGUGAAAAAUCACAUUCUAUGCAAUCUUUGUACAGAAAACUUUGGGAAGAAACUUUUA